RNAcentral lists this ribosomal RNA (253 nucleotides) under uncultured bacterium. RNAcentral's name for it is "partial 16S ribosomal RNA". It matches the Rfam family "Bacterial small subunit ribosomal RNA", at positions 524 to 776 of the family's 1533-position model. The record is from RNAcentral.
UACAGAGGGGGCAAGCGUUAUUCGGAAUUAUUGGGCGUAAAGUGCGCGUAGGCGGCUUUUCAAGUGACGGGUGAAAUCCCUCGGCUUAACCGAGGAACUGCCUGUCAGACUGGAAGGCUUGAGACCGGGAGAGGUGAGUGGAAUUCCCAGUGUAGCGGUGAAAUGCGUAGAUAUUGGGAGGAACACCAGUGGCGAAGGCGGCUCACUGGACCGGAACUGACGCUGAGGCGCGAAAGCGUGGGGAGCAAACAGG